This 267-nucleotide ribosomal RNA is filed under the name uncultured bacterium. Its description in RNAcentral is "partial 16S ribosomal RNA". It matches the Rfam family "Bacterial small subunit ribosomal RNA", at positions 87 to 353 of the family's 1533-position model. The record is from RNAcentral.
GAUGGCGACCGGCGCACGGGUGAGUAACACGUAUCCAACCUGCCGAUGACUCGGGGAUAGCCUUUCGAAAGAAAGAUUAAUACCCGAUGGCAUAGUUCUUCCGCAUGGUAGAACUAUUAAAGGAUUUCGGUCAUCGAUGGGGAUGCGUUCCAUUAGGUUGUUGGCGGGGUAACGGCCCACCAAGCCUUCGAUGGAUAGGGGUUCUGAGAGGAAGGUCCCCCACAUUGGAACUGAGACACGGUCCAAACUCCUACGGGAGGCAGCAUG